UAUGAAUUAAUUAUAAAGUCUAGCCUGCCCACUGAUAUUUUAAAGGGCUGCGGUAAUUUGACCGUGCGAAGGUAGCAUAGUCAUUAGUCUUUUAAUUAGAGGCUGGAAUGAAUGGUUGGACGAAAGGUAAGCUGUCUCUUUUAUGUAUGUUGAAUUUAACUUUUAAGUGAAAAGGCUUAAAUUAUACAGGGGGACGAUAAGACCCUAUAAAACUUUAUAUAAAUUUAAUUUAGUUUAUGAUAUAGGUGAAAAAUUGUUUUAAUAAUUUUAUAUUUUGUUGGGGAGACAUAGAUAUAAUAUGUAACUGUUUGUUAAAUUUAAUAAUUAUAGUUAAUAUUUGAUCCUUCCUUGAGGAUUAAGAGAAUAAGUUACUUUAGGGAUAACAGCGUAAUUUUUUUUGAGAGUUCUUAUCGACAAGAUUAGUUGCGACCUCGAUGUUGAAUUAAAGUUUUUAGCUAAGUGUAGUCGUCUAGCUAAUAGGUCUGUUCGACCUUUAAAAUUUUACAUGAUUUGAGUUCAAACCGGU
RNAcentral lists this ribosomal RNA (526 nucleotides) under Macrobrachium depressimanum. RNAcentral's name for it is "partial 16S ribosomal RNA". It matches the Rfam family "Bacterial large subunit ribosomal RNA", at positions 1832 to 2620 of the family's 2925-position model. Lineage: Eukaryota; Metazoa; Arthropoda; Malacostraca; Decapoda; Palaemonidae. The record is from RNAcentral.